RNAcentral lists this ribosomal RNA (247 nucleotides) under uncultured bacterium. RNAcentral describes it as "partial 16S ribosomal RNA". It matches the Rfam family "Bacterial small subunit ribosomal RNA", at positions 109 to 354 of the family's 1533-position model. The record is from RNAcentral.
AGUAACGCGUGAGGAACCUGCCUUCCAGAGGGGGACAACAGUUGGGAAACGAACUGCUAAUACCGCAUGAUGCGUUGGAGCCGCAUGACUCCGACGUCAAAGAUUUAUCGCUGGAAGAUGGCCUCGCGUCUGAUUAGCUAGUUGGUGAGGUAACGGCCCACCAAGGCGACGAUCAGUAGCCGGACUGAGAGGUUGGCCGGCCACAUUGGGACUGAGAUACGGCCCAGACUCCUACGGAAGGCAGCAG